AUUGAACGCUGGCGGCAGGCCUAACACAUGCAAGUCGAGCGAGCGGCGGACGGGGGAGUAAUGUACGGGGACCGCCCGAUCGAGGGGGAUAACUACGGGAUACGGUGACUAAUAUCGUAUACUUGCGGAUAACCCAUAUGGGAUUAGCUAGUGGGUAAGGUAAUGGCUUCCCUAGGCGACGAUGCCUAGCUGGUCUGAGAGGAUGAUCAGCCACACUGGGACUGAGACACGGCCCAGACUCCUACGGAGGCAGCAGUGGGGAAUAUUGCACAAUGGGCGCAAGCCUGAUGCAGCCAUGCCGCGUGUAUGAAGAAGGCCCUAGGGUUGUAAAGUACUUUCAGUCGGGAGGCGUUACCGACAGAAGAAGCACCGGCUAACUCCGUGCCAGCCGCCGCGGUAAUUC
RNAcentral lists this ribosomal RNA (403 nucleotides) under uncultured bacterium. RNAcentral describes it as "partial 16S ribosomal RNA". It matches the Rfam family "Bacterial small subunit ribosomal RNA", at positions 30 to 526 of the family's 1533-position model. The record is from RNAcentral.